RNAcentral lists this ribosomal RNA (490 nucleotides) under uncultured bacterium. Its description in RNAcentral is "partial 16S ribosomal RNA". It matches the Rfam family "Bacterial small subunit ribosomal RNA", at positions 30 to 507 of the family's 1533-position model. The record is from RNAcentral.
AUUGAACGCUGGCGGCAGGCUUAACACAUGCCAGUCGAGCGGUAGCACAAGAGAGCUUGCUCUCUGGGUGACGAGCGGCGGACGGGUGAGUAAUGUCUGGGAAACUGCCUGAUGGAGGGGGAUAACUACUGGAAACGGUAGCUACUACCGCAUAACGUCGCAAGACCAAAGAGGGGGACCUUCGGGCCUCUUGCCAUCAGAUGUGCCCAGAUGGUCUUAGCUAGUAGGUGGGGUAAUGGCUCCACUAGGCGACGAUCCGUAGCUGGUCUGAGAGGCUGACCAGCGACACUGGAACUGAGACACGGUCCAGACUCCUACGGGAGGCAGCAGUGGGGAAUAUUGCGCAAUGGGCGCAAGCCUGAUGCAGCCAUGCCGCGUGUGUGAAGAAGGCGUUCGGGUUGUGAAGCACUUUCAGCGAGGAGGAAGGUGGUGAACUUAAUACGUUCAGCGAUUGACGGUACUCGCAGAAGAAGCACCGGCUAACUCCGUG